This 163-nucleotide ribosomal RNA is filed under the name uncultured bacterium. Its description in RNAcentral is "partial 16S ribosomal RNA". It matches the Rfam family "Bacterial small subunit ribosomal RNA", at positions 355 to 511 of the family's 1533-position model. The record is from RNAcentral.
UAGGGAAUCUUCGGCAAUGGACGAAAGUCUGACCGAGCAACGCCGCGUGAGUGAAGAAGGUUUUCGGAUCGUAAACUCUGCUGUUAGAGAAGAACAAGGGUGAGAGUAACUGUUCACCCCUUGACGGUAUCUAACCAGAAAGCCACGGCUAACUACGUGCCAG